GCAAUCGGGAGCUUUACCAUGCAGUCGAACGGCAGCGCGAGAGAGCUUGCUCUCUUGGCGGCGAGUGGCGGACGGGUGAGUAAUAUAUCGGAACGUGCCCAGUAGCGGGGGAUAACUACUCGAAAGAGUGGCUAAUACCGCAUACGCCCUACGGGGGAAAGGGGGGGAUCGCAAGACCUCUCACUAUUGGAGCGGCCGAUAUCGGAUUAGCUAGUUGGUGGGGUAAAGGCUCACCAAGGCAACGAUCCGUAGCUGGUUUGAGAGGACGACCAGCCACACUGGGACUGAGACACGGCCCAGACUCCUACGGGAGGCAGCAGUGGGGAAUUUUGGACAAUGGGGGAAACCCUGAUCCAGCCAUCCCGCGUGUAUGAUGAAGGCCUUCGGGUUGUAAAGUACUUUUGGCAGAGAAGAAAAGGUAUCCCCUAAUACGGGAUACUGCUGACGGUAUCUGCAGAAUAAGCACCGGCUAACUACGUGCCAGCAGCCGCGGUAAUACGUAGGGUGCAAGCGUUAAUCGGAAUUACUGGGCGUAAAGCGUGUGUAGGCGGUUCGGAAAGAAAGAUGUGAAAUCCCAGGGCUCAACCUUGGAACUGCAUUUUUAACUGCCGAGCUAGAGUAUGUCAGAGGGGGGUAGAAUUCCACGUGUAGCAGUGAAAUGCGUAGAUAUGUGGAGGAAUACCGAUGGCGAAGGCAGCCCCCUGGGAUAAUACUGACGCUCAGACACGAAAGCGUGGGGAGCAAACAGGAUUAGAUACCCUGGUAGUCCACGCCCUAAACGAUGUCAACUAGCUGUUGGGGCCGUUAGGCCUUAGUAGCGCAGCUAACGCGUGAAGUUGACCGCCUGGGGAGUACGGUCGCAAGAUUAAAACUCAAAGGAAUUGACGGGGACCCGCACAAGCGGUGGAUGGAUGUGAUUAAUUCGAUGCAACGCGAAAAACCUUACCUACCCUUGACAUGUCUGGAAAGCCGAAGAGAUUUGGCCGUGCUCGCAAGAGACCGGAACACAGGUGCCUGCAUGCUGUCGUCAGCUCGUGUCGUGAAGAUGGUUGGGUUAAGUCCCGCAACGAGCGCAACCCUUGUCA
This 1085-nucleotide ribosomal RNA is filed under the name Alcaligenes sp. S3Pl79. Its description in RNAcentral is "bacterial SSU rRNA". It matches the Rfam family "Bacterial small subunit ribosomal RNA", at positions 35 to 1110 of the family's 1533-position model. The record is from RNAcentral. Lineage: Bacteria; Pseudomonadati; Pseudomonadota; Betaproteobacteria; Burkholderiales; Alcaligenaceae.